This 838-nucleotide ribosomal RNA is filed under the name Hansenula anomala. RNAcentral's name for it is "eukaryotic LSU rRNA". The stretch from base 551 to 838 matches the Rfam family "Eukaryotic large subunit ribosomal RNA", at positions 1 to 286 of the family's 3401-position model. The record is from RNAcentral. Lineage: Eukaryota; Fungi; Ascomycota; Saccharomycetes; Phaffomycetales; Wickerhamomycetaceae.
ACCUGCGGAAGGAUCAUUAUAGUAUUCUAUUGCCAGCGCUUAAUUGCGCGGCGAUAAACCUUACACACAUUGUCUAGUUUUUUUGAACUUUGCUUUGGGUGCAUCAGCCUAGCUGCGUGCCCAAAGGUCUAAACACAUUUUUUUAAUGUUAAAACCUUUAACCAAUAGUCAUGAAAAUUUUUAACAAAAAUUAAAAUCUUCAAAACUUUCAACAACGGAUCUCUUGGUUCUCGCAACGAUGAAGAACGCAGCGAAAUGCGAUACGUAUUGUGAAUUGCAGAUUUUCGUGAAUCAUCGAAUCUUUGAACGCACAUUGCACCCUCUGGUAUUCCAGAGGGUAUGCCUGUUUGAGCGUCAUUUCUCUCUCAAACCUUCGGGUUUGGUAUUGAGUGAUACUCUGUCAAGGGUUAACUUGAAAUAUUGACUUAGCAAGAGUGUACUAAUAAGCAGUCUUUCUGAAAUAAUGUAUUAGGUUCUUCCAACUCGUUAUAUCAGCUAGGCAGGUUUAGAAGUAUUUUAGGCUCGGCUUAACAACAAUAAACUAAAAGUUUGACCUCAAAUCAGGUAGGACUACCCGCUGAACUUAAGCAUAUCAAUAAGCGGAGGAAAAGAAACCAACAGGGAUUGCCUCAGUAACGGCGAGUGAAGCGGCAAAAGCUCAAAUUUGAAAUCUAGCACCUUCGGUGUUCGAGUUGUAAUUUGAAGAUGGUAACCUUGGGUUUGGCUCUUGUCUAUGUUCCUUGGAACAGGACGUCAUAGAGGGUGAGAAUCCCGUCUGAUGAGAUGCCCAUUCCUAUGUAAGGUGCUAUCGAAGAGUCGAGUUGUUUGGGAAUGCAGC